RNAcentral lists this unclassified non-coding RNA (370 nucleotides) under Hevea brasiliensis (rubber tree). The record is from RNAcentral. Lineage: Eukaryota; Viridiplantae; Streptophyta; Magnoliopsida; Malpighiales; Euphorbiaceae.
AAAAAAUAGAAAACAAAAAAAAAACACUCCCCUUCAAAAAGCUUACAUGCAUAUGCAAUAUGAAAGUUGCCAUUAAUCUUAACUACUGAUGUAGCAUCACACAUAACAAUAUUUAAUGCAAUAUAUGCCAAUAUUCAGAUUCCACAUAGAACUAAGGAAACCAAACUCUGUGACAAACUUAAAUUUAACAUAGUAAACAGUAAAAAAAAUCACAGAAAACAGACUAGUUGAGCAAUAUGUCUUUGUUUAGGCAACUAGAAUAAAUAUGCAUUCUCCUACUCCUACAUAGUGAGCACACUUGACAUCCUGAUCAAUGGCAGAUCUAAACCUUUAAUGUUGGGGGGGGUGGGUGGGAGGGGCCCAAAUUAAA